GUGAGGAAUAUUGGACAAUGGGCGCAAGCCUGAUCCAGCCAUGCCGCGUGCAGGAAGACGCAUCUAUGGUGUGUAAACUGCUUUUGUACGGGAAGAAACACUCCCUCGUGAGGGAGCUUGACGGUACCGUAAGAAUAAGGAUCGGCUAACUCCGUGCCAGCAGCCGCGGUAAUACGGAGGAUCCAAGCGUUAUCCGGAAUCAUUGGGUUUAAAGGGUCCGUAGGCGGUUUAAUAAGUCAGUGGUGAAAGCCCAUCGCUCAACGAUGGAACGGCCAUUGAUACUGUUAGACUUGAAUUACAAGGAAGUAACUAGAAUAUGUAGUGUAGCGAUGAAAUGCUUAGAUAUUACAUGGAAUACCAAUUGCGAAGGCAGGUUACUACUUGUGGAUUGACGCUGAUGGACGAAAGCGUGGGGAGCGAACAGGAUUAGAAACCCGAGUAGUCC
RNAcentral lists this ribosomal RNA (445 nucleotides) under uncultured bacterium. RNAcentral describes it as "partial 16S ribosomal RNA". It matches the Rfam family "Bacterial small subunit ribosomal RNA", at positions 354 to 796 of the family's 1533-position model. The record is from RNAcentral.